Long non-coding RNA from Mesocricetus auratus (golden hamster), 446 nucleotides. RefSeq lists it as uncharacterized. NCBI's taxonomy places the organism in Eukaryota, Metazoa, Chordata, Mammalia, Rodentia, Cricetidae. The transcript is spliced from 2 exons. The record is from RefSeq and is a predicted model, not a curated record.
AGGGUAGCAAAGUUAGGCGGCUGUUGUUUUGGCGCGUGCUGAGAGCACCACAGUGUGUGCCAGCCAGUGUGAACGCAAGGACCUCCUGACUCCGGAGACCCUGUCAAGAGGAGAGGAGCCUUAGGUAUCCCAAGCUCACCUUGAACUCACGAUGUAUCCGACUGUCACUCCGAACUUGAUCCCCCUGCGUUCCCUUACUGCGUGCUGGGAUUACCCAUGUGUGCCUCCAGGACCAGUCUGUGAAGCCCCCUGGAGCUCAAACCCAGGAUUUCCUGCCCGCUAAGACAAGAGAGAGCUCUAUCCACCGAGCCACAACCCCAGUCCCAGCUGUCCUGAUUCUGAGACCAAGUGCAAGUCAGCGAAUGCCAGGAGUGACUCCCCUGGUCCUCAGCCUCCAUCACCAAAUGAGCACAUUAUUCUCCUAAUAAAUCCUCAUAUAGAAGAAA